Molecule: ribosomal RNA, 151 nt
Filed under: Aeromonas media
Lineage: Bacteria; Pseudomonadati; Pseudomonadota; Gammaproteobacteria; Aeromonadales; Aeromonadaceae
Description: partial 16S ribosomal RNA
Rfam family: Bacterial small subunit ribosomal RNA
Source: RNAcentral
CUGAUGCAGCCAUGCCGCGUGUGUGAAGAAGGCCUUCGGGUUGUAAAGCACUUUCAGCGAGGAGGAAAGGUUGAUGCCUAAUACGUAUCAGCUGUGACGUUACUCGCAGAAGAAGCACCGGCUAACUCCGUGCCAGCAGCCGCGGUAAUAC